UGGGGAAUAUUGGACAAUGGGGGCAACCCUGAUCCAGCCAUGCCGCGUGAGUGAUGAAGGCCUUCGGGUUGUAAAGCUCUUUUGCAGGGGACGAUGAUGACGGUACCCUGAGAAUAAGCCCCGGCUAACUUCGUGCCAGCAGCCGCGGUAAUACGAAGGGGGCUAGCGUUGUUCGGAAUUACUGGGCGUAAAGGGCGCGUAGGUGGCUUGGCAAGUUGGGUGUGAAAGCCCAGGGCUCAACCCUGGAAUUGCACUCAAGACUGCUUUGCUUGAAUUCGGUAGAGGUUGGUGGAAUUCCCAGUGUAGAGGUGAAAUUCGUAGAGAUUGGGAAGAACACCCGUGGCGAAGGCGGCCAACUGGACCGACAUUGACACUGAGGCGCGAAAGCGUGGGGAUCAAACAG
Molecule: ribosomal RNA, 403 nt
Filed under: uncultured bacterium
Lineage: Bacteria
Description: bacterial SSU rRNA
Rfam family: Bacterial small subunit ribosomal RNA
Source: RNAcentral